Molecule: ribosomal RNA, 397 nt
Filed under: uncultured bacterium
Lineage: Bacteria
Description: partial 16S ribosomal RNA
Rfam family: Bacterial small subunit ribosomal RNA
Source: RNAcentral
AUACGUAGGGGGCGAGCGUUGUCCGGAAUGAUUGGGCGUAAAGGGCGCGUAGGCGGCCCGGUAAGUCUGGAGUGAAAGUCCUGCUUUUAAGGUGGGAAUUGCUUUGGAUACUGUCGGGCUUGAGUGCAGGAGAGGUAAGUGGAAUUCCCAGUGUAGCGGUGAAAUGCGUAGAGAUUGGGAGGAACACCAGUGGCGAAGGGGACUUACUGGACUGUAACUGACGCUGAGGCGCGAAAGUGUGGGGAGCAAACAGGAUUAGAUACCCUGGUAGUCCACACUGUAAACGAUGAAUGCUAGGUGUAGGGGGUAUCGACCCCUUCUGUGCCGCAGUUAACACAAUAAGCAUUCCGCCUGGGGAGUACGGCCGCAAGGUUGAAACUCAAAGGAAUUGACGGGG